Molecule: long non-coding RNA, 624 nt
Organism: Triticum dicoccoides
Lineage: Eukaryota; Viridiplantae; Streptophyta; Magnoliopsida; Poales; Poaceae
Exons: 3
Source: RefSeq, a predicted model, not a curated record
AUGCGCUUAUCCAUCUCUCCUCCCGUUUCAUUGGCGUUAUGCGGCGGCGCGCGACGGCGGCGCCGGCUCGCACGCCUGGAGCUUGGAGGUCUACAUCGGCCUCCAAGAGAAGGAGCUCGCUCCGCAGCAGCUUCCAUUGGCAGCGCCUCAUCUUCUCACCGGCCAGGUGGCUGGAAUCCGGUGAUCGUUGCCUUCCGCGUCGCCAACAACCAAGUGCCGUCCAUGAGAACAAUGGAACCCAGUUCUUACUGGUGGGCGUAAGAAGUCUGUUCCAAGUUCUCCAACCGCAAGGAACUUUGGAGUCCACCAAUCACUGAUUUGUUUGACUGAGGAGCACCUCCAGAAGUACACGUGGUGUUAUCUGAAGCUUGCUGGAACAUAUACCUCUUUUUUCUUCUGUAGUUUGUUUUUUAGCAUUAAACCUUUUUCAAGAUGUAACUAAAGUAGCUGCAUAGUCUAGUUUGCUUUAGGCAGUGUACAUGUUUCUAUCAAGAUGCAAAUUUCUGUACAUGAUGUACAAAUGUAUCAAGUAUCUUGUUAACCAUGGUGCCACUUGAUAGAUCUCUGAAGAAGCAGUGACUUUUGUUUACAUGUAUAUAACACACAGAGAGAACAGUACUGUGA